This 492-nucleotide ribosomal RNA is filed under the name uncultured bacterium. Its description in RNAcentral is "partial 16S ribosomal RNA". It matches the Rfam family "Bacterial small subunit ribosomal RNA", at positions 29 to 507 of the family's 1533-position model. The record is from RNAcentral.
AGUGAACGCUGGCGGUAGGCCUAACACAUGCAAGUCGAACGGCAGCACAGUAAGAGCUUGCUCUUACGGGUGGCGAGUGGCGGACGGGUGAGGAAUACAUCGGAAUCUACUUUUUCGUGGGGGAUAACGUAGGGAAACUUACGCUAAUACCGCAUACGACCUACGGGUGAAAGCAGGGGAUCUUCGGACCUUGCGCGACUGAAUGAGCCGAUGUCGGAUUAGCUAGUUGGCGGGGUAAAGGCCCACCAAGGCGACGAUCCGUAGCUGGUCUGAGAGGAUGAUCAGCCACACUGGAACUGAGACACGGUCCAGACUCCUACGGGAGGCAGCAGUGGGGAAUAUUGGACAAAGGGCGCAAGCCUGAUCCAGCCAUACCGCGUGGGUGAAGAAGGCCUUCGGGUUGUAAAGCCCUUUUGUUGGGAAUGAAAAGCAGCAGGUUAAUACCCCGCUGUUCUGACGGUACCCAAAGAAUAAGCACCGGCUAACUUCGUG